AUACGAAGGGGGCUAGCGUUGUUCGGAAUUACUGGGCGUAAAGCGCAUGUAGGCGGACAUUUAAGUCAGGGGUGAAAUCCCGGGGCUCAACCUCGAACGGGGGUGCCUUUGAUACUGGGUGUCUAGAGUGUGGAAGAGGUAAGUGGAAUUCCGAGUGUAGAGGUGAAAUUCGUAGAUAUUCGGAGGAACACCAGUGGCGAAGGCGGCUUACUGGUCCAUUACUGACGCUGAGGUGCGAAAGCGUGGGGAGC
RNAcentral lists this ribosomal RNA (251 nucleotides) under uncultured bacterium. RNAcentral describes it as "partial 16S ribosomal RNA". It matches the Rfam family "Bacterial small subunit ribosomal RNA", at positions 523 to 769 of the family's 1533-position model. The record is from RNAcentral.